UACGUAGGGUGCAAGCGUUAAUCGGAAUUACUGGGCGUAAAGCGUGCGCAGGCGGUUUUGUAAGUCUGACGUGAAAUCCCCGGGCUUAACCUGGGAAUUGCGUUGGAGACUGCAAGGCUGGAGUCUGGCAGAGGGGGGUAGAAUUCCACGUGUAGCAGUGAAAUGCGUAGAGAUGUGGAGGAACACCGAUGGCGAAGGCAGCCCCCUGGGCCAAGACUGACGCUCAUGCACGAAAGCGUGGGGAGCAAACAAG
This 253-nucleotide ribosomal RNA is filed under the name uncultured bacterium. RNAcentral's name for it is "partial 16S ribosomal RNA". It matches the Rfam family "Bacterial small subunit ribosomal RNA", at positions 524 to 776 of the family's 1533-position model. The record is from RNAcentral.